This 25-nucleotide non-coding RNA is filed under the name Rattus norvegicus (Norway rat). The record is from RNAcentral. Lineage: Eukaryota; Metazoa; Chordata; Mammalia; Rodentia; Muridae.
UGCAGUUCUGAAGUAGCAAUGGAGA